CUCUUCUUGUUUGCAUUUGGGAGAGAGAAGCAGCAGCAACCCUAAGAGGUUAUUUUGUGUAUGGCUGCUACAGGCUGAACAGGGUCACCUUUUUGUUUAUCUGGAUGAUGUCAUCAAGCAGCAUCCACCCGAGGAAUUUCUGAAACCAGUGUAGGGGGAAGGUGAUUGAUCUUGAAUCUCUGCUUGAGCCAGAAAGACCUAUAAAAGGAGCAACAAGUAAAGAUUAUUCUCCUUGAGAAGCCUUGAGAGGAUGAUAAACCAGAAGGACAAACAGGGAUAGAUAAAUCCCACGAGUAAGGAGAAUAUUCUCAAAAGUAUACCACACUUGUGUCUGUGUACACGUGUGCACACACACAGAACUGUGAACAUAAGCAAAGAAGGAAGAAGUCAAAUAAAUGAACAAUUAAUUUCUCUCCUUUUCAGUGUGCAGUCUGCUGCACCACACCCACAAAGAAGGAAUAAGCUCUUUACAUCAGUCACUAAAAUGCAGGCAUAUACUUGGAAUUAGUGUCUCAUUGCUUUUUCUAAAAUGGCCUUUUUUCCCCAUUUCCAGAACUAUAUAUUUUUGUCAGUUUAAUAGUUGCACUUCUUAUUGAAA
Alligator sinensis (Chinese alligator) is the source of this 598-nucleotide long non-coding RNA. RefSeq lists it as uncharacterized. The transcript has 3 exons. Lineage: Eukaryota; Metazoa; Chordata; Crocodylia; Alligatoridae. The record is from RefSeq and is a predicted model, not a curated record.